RNAcentral lists this long non-coding RNA (31608 nucleotides) under Ananas comosus (pineapple). RNAcentral describes it as "long non-coding RNA (ACOM_LNC018325)". Lineage: Eukaryota; Viridiplantae; Streptophyta; Magnoliopsida; Poales; Bromeliaceae. The record is from RNAcentral.
UUUUGGGUGUUGAAAAGUAAAUUUAAAAUUAUUUCAAAUAGUAGUAAGAAAUAACUUACAUAUGCCACAUCCUUGAUGCCUAAGUAAUACUUCAUUUUCAUUAUUAUAGUGCAAUAAUGUUUGGCAGUUCGACUAUUAUACUAUCGAUAGUACAAAAUUUUUGAUACUAUUGAAUUUUCUGUCGUUAGAUCUACCCUUUGAUCAUUUCCAUCCGUUAGAUUAUACUAUUCAACCAACCACCCCCUCAACUCUAGAGAACCACUAUUAUCCUAAUCGCACAUCUUUUUAUUUAACGACUGAAAAUUUAAUAGCACUGAACGUUUGGUAUUAUCGAUAGUAUAAAAACAAAAUUCUAAUAUUUGAACUAUGACUCUCUCUCUCUCUCUCUCUCUCUCUCUCUCUCUCUCUCUCUAUAGACAUAUAGCUUAUCAAAAGUCUUGCAUUUGUGGGCCCCACUUUCUAACCUUUUUGGCUUUUCUACAUAAGCAGUGUGGAAGAUUUGGUGAGAGGAUGAAAGUGAUCAGGGGCAUCACAUCUAAAGAAAAAGAAAUAUGCCGGCCAAAUAAAUCCCAUCCUUCCAAUAAAGUAGAGGCUUAUUAUUAUUAUUUAAUUAAGUGGCAUUUCCCACCCCCACACAAUUCUUUGUUUGGAACAAAUAAUUGAAUUAAAAUACUCUGUUUCAUUAAAAUACUUUGUUUCAAGAGCAGCUUAGUUUCAACUUAUCACAUAAGCAGUACAUUACAUGAAGGAAAAGAUGUGCUUAAUUUAGAUGCUGUGGACCAAUAAUUGAAGGCCACUUAUCACCCUUGAAUAAGGAAAAGAAAAAGGUGUAUAAUAUUUUGGGUCCAACCAUCUCUGUGGAAGAUAUUGUUUUAAGGCAUAAAAAAUAAAAAAAAAUAAUCCUAAGUUAGAAAAUAAUUCAGAAAUGGUCUCUAUGGAAUAAGACAUAAAAAUUUAACAAAUAUUAUCCUAUUAUAAAAAAUGGAACUGCAAUGACAUCUAUGAAAGGUAAAAUUUUAAGACAUAAAAUAUUUAACAAAUACUAUAUAUUCUAUGAUAGAAACAGAUCAGAAAUGACCUCUAUAAAAGAUAAAAUUUUAAGACAUAAAAAAUUUAACAAAUACUAUCCGAUGAUAGAAAACGGUUCAAAAGUAGCCUCUUAUGGCUAUAGCGCAUAGGAAGUUAACUUGUUGACUGCAAAAUAUGAAAAAUCAUCUUCUAUCAACCUAAGCCUUUAUAUAAAAGCUAAAUCAUUAGGAUUUCAAUAGUAAAGCUUCCAGAACGACUGUUCCUGACGUAAGUAGCAAAGAGUUUGAUAGUUAAAAUCCAAAAUCCCAAAUUUGAAGUCACAUUUCCAGUCAAGUUCAUUUAUAAAAGAAAAAAGAACGAAAUAAAUAAUGUGCUACUUUUCUCUUAAAAAAAAAAAGGGUAAAAUAGCCGGGUGGGGUAGGAAUGAAGCCAGAAAUUAAGAUUCGGGAGGCCCAAAAUUUAGAUUUGAUAGGAAAAAAAUUCGAUCUUGAAUAGUAAGAAAAAAAUUUGGCAGAUUCACUGAUAUCGACAAUAUGCUCAAAAAAGAACCAGACCGUAAGAAUUGAAGGAAAAUGACCAAGAAAUUUGAAAAAAAAUUGAGGCACAAAUUUUGUUAAAAAAAUUAAUUUGGCCCCCUAAAAUUAAAAUUUAUAAUAUUUUAAUUUUUAUUAUAAAGAACUUUUAUAUAAUUUUAAAAACUUUAGGGGGGACCAUGGCCACUGUGGGCUCCUCAAUAGCUCCGUCCCUGCCGGUGGGGGAUCAUGGAUUUGAAUCGCAUGUGGAAUCACUGUGGCCCAGCUAAAAGUGGAGAAAAUUAGUUGUUUAAUCUAGUAUCAAACUAUUAUAAUAUGUCUUAGGCAUGCUAAAAGUUUCAUGCCAAGAAGCAUACUGAGUAACAGCAUGAUGGUUAAGGGCGCGACGGAAAACAUCUAUAUUUAGUGUAAUUAGUUAAGAGUUUGAUAAUUGAUAUAUGAUGUCAAAGUAAGUUUUUUUAUUGAUUCAUAUUUCUACCUAAGUUUAUUUUUAAAAAUAAAAAAUUGGUACUAACUAUCCUUCUCUCUCUUUCAAAAAAAAAAAAAAACAAAAAAAAACAAAAAAAAAGAGAGGGAAAAGUAGUUGUUAAUUUAUUAUUAAAUGAACUACUCCAUUUUGAGCACUAGUAUAGCCUAUCUAAAUGUAGUCACACUAAUCAAGGCCCGGGCACAACAGGAACCUAUCCAUUUAUUAUUUUUAGGGAAAACUUCAAAAACCCCCCUGUAGUUUCGUACAUUCUUACUUAGCCCCUCUGUGGUUUAAAAUGUAUCAAAUUGCGCCCCUGUGGUUUCGUUUUUAUCAUUUCGGUAGCUUUUUCGUUAAUAUUUUAUUAAAUUAUAUACAAAAAACUUUAGAUGUCCAUCUAGAUUUAUCAAAUAUUACUUGAGUACCCUUUAAUUUUAACUUUAUCACUGAUUUAAGAAAAAAAAUAAUGAAAUUGAUAAGAAAAAGAGAAAAAAGAAACCACGGGGAGGCAAAUUGAUACAUUUUAAAUCACAGGGAGGCAGAGUGAGAAACUACGAAACCACAGGAAGAUUUUUUGAAAUUUUUUCUUAUUUUUAAAUGAACUACUCCAAUUGAUUUUCAUGUUUAUUUUAUUUUAUUUUUUAAUUCUUUUAAAUAUUUUUUAAGAUUUAAGCGUUUGACCAUUUGUGCUCAAUCGCAUGAUUCGCAUCUCGACUUUUCCAACGUGAAAUUAAUCAAACCCCCGUACGAUCCUCACCCAUCUCCUCCCCAUGCCUCAAUCAAGAUUCCAAUAGAUUUUUUUUUAAAAAAAAAAGUUAAAGUACUCGUGUUGAAUAAUAUGAAAUAAUUAUUUACUGUUAAAAAUUUAAGCCGGUAGAGAACGUGAAUAAUUUUGUAAUCCGAAAUGACCAGAGCGGUUAACACUCUAUAAGGCACAUUUCGCGUGCCGAAGUCGAAAAAAAAAUAUUAGCUUAACUAUAAAAUCUAUUUUGCGCUUUAUUUUGUGUCUCAUAUAUCCUCCUGCACAAAAGGAAUUACAACGUUGCACUUUAACUCUGUCUAAGAAGACUGGGGCCUCCGCAGUUUGUUUGGAGGAAAGAAAAGGGCGGUCUCGUCUUUCUCCGUAUGCUGCUGAAGCAACUGCGGACGGACUCUUCCUUUUUAGGCUUCGUUUGGUUCGGGUAUAAGCAAGAAAAUAGUUAUACCGGGGAUAGGUACAAAAAUGAAUUUUCGUAGGAACAAAAGUAUUUUUUUGUUUGGAUGAAAAUAUGAGUAUAAGCUGGAACUAGAAAAAUUGUGUUUGGAUGAAAAUCUGAGUAUAAGGUGAAAUAGUUGAUAGUUAUAGAUAGAAGGGGCAAUUUCAUAGGUACCCCUCCCAAAGUUUAAAAUAUCAUACAUGCCCCUAUAAAGUUUAAAAUAUCAUAUAUGCCCCUGUAAACAUUGAAAAUUAUCACCAAUGCCCCUACCGUCAGUUGUGUUAGUUUUACUAUAGUUAUUAAAAGAUUAAAGAUGGGUUAACUUUUAAAAUGACCUAUUUGCCCUCAACUAUGCUUUAAUAAGUAAAAAAAUGUAUGAAAAUCCUAUCUUUUUUUAAUAUUGGAAGCUUAAAAUUUUUUUAACCAAAGUUAUUCUCAAAUAUAAUAUAUUUUAGCCUAUGAACAAAACUCUUUUUUUUUUUCCGUUGACAGAAAAAUGCAUGCAUAUUGUUAUUUGAUUUAUUUUUUAUUAAAUAGGAAAAAAAAUUAAACCUAUAUUUUAUUUCAAAAUUACUAUUACUGAUUAGGAAUAUGAAUUGAUAUAGGUACAUAAUUUUAUCUGAACUCGGGAUUUUAUAGGGUGGAGUUAUCGUGUAGAGUACGAUAAUUUCAAGUUAAAAUUAAAAAAAAAUAAUACAAUUAUAUUAAACUCAGUUUCACGCUCUCUCUCGAUUUAUAUUUAAACCCAAAACCUGAUACCACGAAAUCCGAAGCCGAAAACAAAACUAAAAAUCAUAUAAAAAAUAUUAUAAUAAAAUACAAAUAUUCUUAUACUAUUUUUUAAAAAAUAAAUAAUAAUAUUAUAUUUAAUUUAAUAUUGUAAGUAUAUAAAAUAAUUAAUUUAGGUUUAAGAAACUGGUCUUGAAAUAUCUGAAUACUCAGUAUUUGUGAUGUUGAUGAGAGAUAAAGGGUAAAAAUGGUAUUUGAGAAACUCUAACUCCAUUUUCAGGGACUUGACAGACUUUACUACGCUCAGGAGAUAUCACUGAUAAUCUUCUUGAUAUAAUAUGCGAGGGCAUUCAUGAAUUAUUGGUUUUAUGAAGGGGCAUUGAUGAAAUUAAUAGUUCCUAGGAACGGCAUCUAUGAAUAUUAUACCCAUAGAAUAGGGAAAUAUGGUUUACCUUUAUAAUUGAGAUUUAAUAUUUUUAAUAAUAAUUUUAAAUUUAAAAAUUUUAAUUCUUAAAUGUUUUACAAUUUGAAAAAUUAAAAAUUAAAAUUAUAAUUUUAAAUUUUAAAUUUUAAUAUCAAAUUUUAAAUUUAAGAUCAAAUUUAAAUUUGAAAGAUAUAAAAUAUAAAAUUUUAAAUUUUAAAUCUAAAAAAUUAAAUUUAAAAUUUAAAAAUUACAAAUAUCAAAUUUAUAAUUUAAACAUUAAAAUUUAUAAUUUAAAAUUAUAAAUUUAAAUUUUAAAAAACUAAAUUAUAAAUUUUAGAAAUUAAAAUUAAAAUUAAAAAUCUCUCUCUCUCUCUCUCUCUCUCUACCCGGGAGGGGUGGAACAACUGUUCCACCCCUUGUUCCACCCCUUGGGGUGGAACAAGUCCCCAACCUGGAAUUGUACCAGGUUGGGGUGGAACAAGUGUUCCACCCCUCUAAAUUGUGUUUGAGUACAAGAGGGGGGAUAACCCUCUUAUAUCCCCUCUUGUACCCAUUCAAACGGGGUGUUAAAUUUUGGCGGAAGUGUUAACGACGAUGACGUGACAGAUCAUUGACCUUAGAAAAAACGGUUAACUUUUCGCACAUGAACGUUUUUUCUUGGUUCCUCUCAGGGUUUGAACUUUGAAAAUAUUGAACCUUGAAAAUUUUCUUCAAGAAGCUUAGGCUUAAAACUGCGCUAUCGCGGUAUAUCGAUGCUAAAAUUAACGAAUACUUUUAAUAGAAUCCCAAAUUAUUAGACCGGUUUGACACAAAGCUAAAGUGCAGGAUUAACAUUAUUUUUUUGGCGAAACUAUAAAAAAUUUCUUAUAAAUACCAGCUUUUUUAUUUUUUUCUCUGUAAAUUUCGAAAAUCUAUGUUUUACCUCUCGACAUUUCAAGUUGUUGCACUAAGCCCCCAUCCGUCAAGAUUCCAUCACUAUUCCAUCUAAUUCUUAUAAUUUAUACCGAAAAUAUUCCUUCAAAAUGAUAAAAAUAUAUUAAAAAUUAUUUUUCUUUCUUAUAGAAGAAGUAAGGAUAAUUUGAACAUUCUAUUCUCUGCAUUAACACCAUACCUUUUUAAAAAUAUUUCUAAACUUUUUAGAAGGAUAAAAUAUUGACUUUUAAAAGCCAAAAAAGAAAAAUAAAAAAAAAGUAUUUAAAGAAAGUUUUCUAUAAUUUAGCGUUUAUUAUUAUUAUUAUUUUUUUAACGCAUAUGAAUAUUUGAGAUACAGAACAAAGUACACGGAGGGUGUUUUAUAAAUAAAUCGAAAUUAUUUUUCUUGGAGAAGCUAAAGCCUAAGCCUGUUUUUCAGAGUCUACUUUGGUUGCGUCAACUUUGAUAUUUUUUUUCUUUUAUUUUUCCCUCACAAUCAUCUUCGCGAAGAUUAAAAUAUGAAUUUUUUUUGGUCUUGUUGAAGUAAAUCUCUCACCCAAUUUAUUAGCACAUUGAUAAACACAAUUUCCUUCUUAGUUAGUUGAAGCAUUAACUAGGAAUAAAUGAUAUUAUUAUUUUCUAAAUUAAGAUGUUGCCAUAUUUUUUUUUUUAUAUUAAUACAAAGCUCAUACUACAAGCUAAUGAUCUCUUAUCAUAGCAUCUGCGAGAUAUAAUAAUAAUAAUAAUAUAUAAUGCAAAAGAGUAGUUGUUGACUUGUAAAGCCCAAUUAAUUAAUUAAUUAAUUAAUUAAUUUUAUGCUCAUUGAGAUAUAUAAUAAGCACACAUGUAAGUUCAUGCCUACUCUACUUUAAUAAUGAUAUAUAAACUAACAUGUUAUCACGAACUUCAUUCAUUGAAUCUCUCUAAACUUCUUUUUUUAAGAAAAAAUCUUAGGAGCAUGCUCUCUAUAAUUGACUACAAAAAUAUGUUUCCUAGUAAAAUAUGAGGAAAUGAGCAUUCAAUUAUUGGUGAUAAUAUAUUGACUUAUCAAUAGGUAGAUAACUUGAUUAAUUUGAUAGUUUAUAGCCAAUCAAUGUAGUUGUCAUUUUCACAAAAAAUCCUUGCAUUUUAAUGCAACUUUUACUUUUGGUUCCUUUUCUCUUGGAAACUCUUAUCUCAUUAGAAAAGUUAGGAGGUUGAAAUUUGAAAUUUGUUGUUAAACAAUCACAAAGAUUCAAUUUCAUGAGUUAAAAGAGGAUCUACGCUUCGCUUCUGCUUUUAUUUUCAGUAGUAUUUGGAUUUUAUAGGCAUUUUGAGCCUCAAAGAAAGAGGCCUCAAUUUGAUGCCUUAACAUCGGAUUUUGUCGAAAAUGUUCAUAAUACGCUGUCAACUGAAAUUGAAGUAGUGUCGAAAGCAGUAAAUUUUUUUGGGGUACCUUUCUAGGAAAAUAAAUUUAGAUAUUUUCGGAUCCAGUAUUGAUUAUUAAAGCGAUCCACUUCAGGUCUAAUCAAUCCAAAUCGAUCAUUUGGAAUGCUAGAACGAACCUCAAAAUGCUUCAAUCGUUCGUCGACGAAUGUCACACUUUCUUUUUUGGAUGGAGCUCUUGCUUUUUUAGAAAUGUUGUGCAGGCUGAUCAACUAGGUAAUUGGAGUCUGUCUAAUAAAAAAUAUACUGUAUGGUCCUCUUUUGAAAAAUUUUUCAAUUCGAUAUCGUCUUAUUUUAUUUAAAUAAACUUUCGCUCUCGAAUAAUUUUCCUAAAAAAAAUUAUCGUAUUUAUAGUAAUAUGAUCAUUUCUUAGACGGCAUUUUUAUUAGGCCAAUUUGCAUAAAAAAUCCACUUAUUUUGGGCUUUUGCAAAAUCGGGCCACCUUUUUCAUUUUUGCAGAUUCGGUCCGCUUUUUCAGCAAACUGACCAAAAUACCCUUAUUACUUUUUCUCUUUCCUCUUUCUCUCUCUUCUUCGUUUCUCUCGUUCUUUUUUUUUUUCUCGCCGGUAGAGCGGAGGCGGCCUUUCACUCUCAUGCUCUCGCCUUCGCCCUUGCCCUCGUCCAUGCACCCCCACCUUCCUCACCUCCGACCCCGUUAAGGCCGCGCCGCGACUUUUUUUUUUUUUUUUUUUUUUUUCUUUUCUUUUCUUCUCCGACUCUUCUCCACCGUCUCCGACGACGACGCCUCUCGCCCUUCCCCGCCCUUCUCAUCUCUCCCUCUCCCUCAUUUUCUGCCGCCUCCGACGACGAUUUAUCUUCGCCGGCGCCGACGUCGACACCGUAGAGGUCACUGCGGCGCUACAGCCUCGGAGCGGGGGGUCCUUAGCGGCGUCGUCACCGGCGCCGUCACCGGCGCCGUAGCUGUUGGCAGAGAAGGUGACAAAAAAAUUAUAGAAAAAACAGAAAAAAAAAUAAAGAUAAAAAAUUAUAUAAAAAGAAGGAUGAAGAUGAAAUUACAUCGUUAAUUACAAAAAAAAUUAUAAGUUGCACUAUUUAAGAUGUAAACUGCUGCUUUAAGAUAAAAAUUAUACUCUUUGAACGAAAAUUAUACUAUUUUUUAUCUUAAACUGCAUCCUUUUAAGUGAUAUUUAUACUGUUUCUCCUCUUGUUGCACUGUUUCUCCUGUUGUUGCACUAUUUCUCCUCUUAUUUACACAGAAAUGGUGCAACAAGAGGAGAAACAGUGCAACAAGAGAAGAAACAGUAGAUAUAUCUCUUAAAACAGUGCAGUUUCUCCUCUUGUUGCACUAUUUCUCCUCUUGUUUACACAGAAAUGGUGCAACAAGAGGAGAAACAGUAUAUAUAUCUCUUAAAACAGUGCAGUUUCUUCUCUUCUUGCACUGUUUCUCCUCUUGUUGCACUAUUUCUCCUCUUAUUUACACAGAAAUGGUGCAACAAGAGGAGAAACAGUAUAAAUAUCUCUUAAAAGGGUGCAGUUUCUCCUCUUAUUGCAUUGUUUCUCCUCUUGUUGCACUAUUUCUCCUAUUGUUUACACAGAAAUGGUGCAACAAGAGGAGAAACAGUGCAACAAGAGAAGAAACAGUAGAUAUAUCUCUUAAAACAGUGCAGUUUCUCCUCUUGUUGCACUAUUUCUCCUCUUGUUUACACAGAAAUGGUGCAACAAGAGGAGAAACAGUAUAUAUAUCUCUUAAAACAGUGCAGUUUCUUCUCUUCUUGCACUGUUUCUCCUCUUGUUGCACUAUUUCUCCUCUUAUUUACACAGAAAUGGUGCAACAAGAGGAGAAACAGUAUAAAUAUCUCUUAAAAGGGUGCAGUUUAAGAUAAAAAAUAGUGUAACAAGAGGAGAAAUGGUGCAACAAGAGGAGAAACAGUGCAACUUUUGUUUAAAGAGUGUAACUUUCAUCUUAAUGGAUGCAGUUUACAUCUGAAAGAGUGUAAUAAGAAGAGAAACAGUGUAAAUAUUUCUCAAAGAGUGUAAUUUUCGUUUAAAGAGUGUAGUUUUCAUCUUAAAGCUGCAGUUUACAUCUUAAAUAGUGCAACUUAUAAUUUUUUUUGCAGUUAACGAUACAAUUUGAUGUUCAUCCUUCUUUUUAUAUAAUUUUUUAUCUUUAUUUUUUUUUUUUUUUUUUCUAUAAUUUUUUUUUGUCACCUUCUCUGCCAACAGCCACGGUGCCGGCGACGACACCGCUAAGGACCCCCGCUCCGAGCCUGUAGCGCCGCAGUGACCUCCACGGUGUCGACGUCGGCGCCGGCGAAGAUGCAUCGUCGUCGGAGGCGGCAGAGAAUGAGGGAGAGGGAGAGAUGAGAAGGGCGGGGAAGGACGAGAAGGACGAGAGAGGCAUCGUCGUCGGAGACGGUGGAGAAGAGUCGGAGAAGAAAAGAAAAGAAAAAAGAAAAAAAAAAAAAAGUCGUGGCGCGGCCUUGGCGGGGUUGGAGGCGAGGAAGGUGGGGGGUGCGUGGACGAGGGCAAGGGCGAGGGCGAGGGCGAGGGCUAGAGAAUGAGGGUGAGAGGCGAGACGGACGUUUCCGCCUCCGCUCUGCCGGCGAGAAGAAAAAAGAACGAGAGAAACGAAGAGGAGAGAGAAAGAGGAAAGAGAAAAAGUAAAAAGGGUAUUUUGGUCAGUUUGCUGAAAAAGUGGACCGAAUCUGCAAAAACGAAAAAGGUGGUCCGGUUUUGCAAAAGCCCAAAAUAAGUGAAUUUUUUAUGCAAAUUGGCCUUUUUAUUAAAUAGUACUAUAACUAAUAAUGUAUAAAGCCAAACAAACUCAUGGUUGGCAACUUUGGAAAUGUAUAAAUAAAAUUAUCUAUGCAUAAAUUGUUCAGAUUAAUCCUUGUUCGUUACUUAUCAUAUAAAUCCUUUAGAUAAUAUGUUAUCAGAUCCAGUAUUAUAUGUGCUUCGAAAUUUGAUUAACAGUUUCGAUUUUGUGCCCCGGAUUUGCUGAUAGUUUAAUGAUAUGACAAAGCCCCUGAUUUGCCGAUAGCUUCGUCGUACGAUACAUUUAAAAAAAUGAUUUGUGAAGGAAAAAGAUGACUGACGGGGAGGGGGGGCGGGGGUGCGGGUGCGGAUCCGAUAAUAAAGAAAUCCGUUAAGAAACUUCUUUUUUUCUUUUUACCCUAGAGGCUACAAGCGUAUGAUACUUUGAAAAAUUGUAUUUUUAUUGAUGCAGCCUUAAUUUAUAUAUAAUUUUUUAUUUAAUAUGGUUAAUUAGUCGUUAGCUAUUGGUUAUUUCAAUUUCAUAUUCACUAAAAAAUGAUAAAGGAUACUAAAUUUAAUUGAAUCACUAAUAUAUUAAACAAAGUUCUUAAUUUAACUACAUUAUUAGAAUUAAAGAUUAAUAGCUCUUAAUGGUUAUUAUAUAUAUGAUUAUCCACAACGAAGCGUGGGUUUUCCGCUAAUAAAGAAAGAUGAAAGAUGCCUUGAAAAGUGGCAUAAAUAAUGCAUCUUUGAUGUAGAAUAUAAUUAGCAUAUAUAGUUAGGUGGAUUUCAACUAAAUAAAGUGAUUGUUAAAGUAACUAAGUUGUUGUUGCAAAUAGAUUGGAGAUGCUAAAUGGCUUCUUCAAGAAUCUGUAGACAAGAGUCCUCCACUAGUUCGCGAAGCUCUUUUUAAAUUCGGUUAGAUUUGAUAUAAAGUAUUUAAAAUCUCUAAAAAUAAACUUCAUAAUUUUCGAUAUCAUUUAUCUAGUGAUGAUCAAAGGGGCCCAAAAUUUAGUUCCUAAAUAUUUUUAGUAGUAUUGAUCAUGUUUAAUAAAGCAGAUCAUCGAUUCGGAUGUCCCAUUAUUAAAAACAACUUGGUAAUACGGAGACUUCCGUGCUAUUUGUAGUAUACGAGCUAGACCGACUCUCUCUCUCUCUCUCUCUCUCACUAAGGAAUAUAAUUUACCUGAGUUGGGCUAGAAUACUUUUAAGAAUAUUAUGGUUUUGAAACAAUUGAGGUGUUUUUAAUGAUUGAGCAUCAAAAUCAACAAUUCACACUACUUAAAAUGGUGCAGAGAAUUUGAUAUAUUUUUUUGAUGUUUUAAAAAAAUUUGUGUGUGUGUAUAAUUUGCAUAAUAUAUAUAAUAACCCUGUCUAAAGCAAAUAAAUUAUUCUUUUAUUACAUGUAACAAAUUAACUUAUUGCAACCCAAAUCCCUCCAUAGUAAUCGAAUUUAAUUCAAAUUUAAAAUUUUUGAAUGUGCAAGACUUCCGAAAUCAAAAAUUGGACCUCGAAGGUCCCGGAAAAUUUACAUACAACAGAAGCGACAUCAAAAGAACCUCAACAAAAAAAAAAAACCUGUGCAUGAGCAAUUGGUGAUAAGGAUGCUAUUUUAAAAAGUUAAUAACUAAUUAGCCAAUUAAUAUGAAUUGAUAAAUAUAACUAUCACAAACAAUAUGAGAGACAUUAUUAAGCCUACCAUAAUGAAAAAGAUAAGUAGAUGUAAAUAGAGACACAAGAACUCUGCUGCUCUACUUCAAAACAUUAUCUCUCACCUUCAUACACUGCAUGUCAUUCCAAAAUAACUCAUUCAUAAUGUAUUCAAUUGCUCUACGUAUAUAUUAUUCAUCAUCACCGACGCUAUCGAAGAUACUCGAUCGGUCUAGUAUAGUAUCCAGAAGUAACGCAUGCUAGCCUCUUGUUAGCACCUCACGAUUUGAAAUUAUCCUAUAAAUAUAUGAGAGAUAAUAUGACUAAAUUUUUUAAUCUAGCUAUAGUAUUUUGGACGAUGGUAAGACUCAAGAGGUUAAAAGAAUAAUGCGUGUUAGAACUAAAGUAGCUCUAGAACAGGUGAUCUCUUGAAAAACGGAGCGUCACAGUUGGUAUCAAAGCCCAUCAACAGCGCGGCUUCCCAGCUAACGAACGUUCUAGGUGGAGCGUGGCUCUCUACAACGUCGGGUGAGGGUAACGAGACAGAUCUCGCAUCGCCUGAUAUUUAUGAAUGUGCUUGAGUCCGACGAGAACGUCAGGACUUAAAAGGAUUAAUUAAUCUCUUAAUCCGACUAUAACAUUUAGAUAGUGGUCAGACCUAAAAAAUUAAAAAGAUUAAGGCUUCGUUUGGAAAUGCAGGGAGAUUGCGUUACGUGCGGUGAGAAAGUACAUUGGAAAAAUUACCUUGUUUAUUUCUAUAAGUAAUAUUGCGUUCCGCAUAACGCGAUGAGCUGGUUACGAAAUAUUUUCUACAGUCUCACCGGAGAACGCAGAAGUAUAUCCUUAUAUGUUUUUUCCUCAACUCCAUUUUAUCUAAUAGCGUUAGAUAGAUUUCAAUACCAAACUAAGUCUAAGUGUGCUAGAGUUGGCAACUUGUUUUUCUAUUCUACGUCGCGAUAUUGUAAAGAGAGAUUUGGAAACGCACUUUCUUCUUGGCGACGCACUUGCACGAAUGGUGCGGCGGUCGGUCCAAAUUGUCCGACUAGCCAGUCAGCGUAGCCGGUCGUUCACGGCGGAAAACGACUGAAAAACAAACAAAAAAAAAAAAAAAAAAAAAAAAGCGUUUUCCAGUUUGAUUGAUAAGUGCUUCCACCUCUCUAUUCAUAAAUAGGGUUAAUAAAAAAAAGACACGAAUAAUCAAUCAGGGGCCCAACUGAUGGUGGCUCGGAAGCUUCUCGGAGUCUUUGCUUUGAACCUUCAUUUGGACUCUCCCUCUCCCUCUCCCUCUCCCUCUCCCUCUCUAAAUUUGUUUAGCACAUGUAUAGGAAAAUUUCAAGGCAAAUUUUGCUUCUUCCAUUCAUGAAUAGUAGUGUGCUAUCUUAUCUUGUUUCCACAUAUAUGUAUACUAGUUAAGGUGCCCCGCGCGAUGAGAUAGAAAGAUAAUACAAUAGUAAAUUAUUAUAAUUAUUAAUAUCAUUUUUUUUUUCUUUAUUAUGCAUUAAUAUUUUUAAAUAUUAUUUAUCGUAGACCUUUCAUAGGAUGCGAAGAGCAGUUCGAACCUAUAAGGGUCCUCGAUUAAUAAGUUCGAUGCGGCGGGAAGAUAAUAAUACAAUAGUAAAUUAUUAUAACUAAUUUUGAAAUUCAAAUAUCAAAUUUAAAAUAAAAAAUUAAAGUUUGAAAUCAAAAUUUACCAAAUUUAAGUUUGAAUCAAAAUUUAAAAAAUUUAAAUUUGAAAUCAAAAUUUAGAUUCAAUUUAAAAUUCAGUUUAAAAUUUGAAUUCAAAUUAUAAUUCAAAAUUCUAAUUACAAAUAAGUUCAAAAUUUUAAUUUUAAGAUUGAUUCUAGAUUUAAAUUUAAAAUUUUGAAUUUUUAUAUUUUGGGACUAAAGUGAAAAUUUUGUAAAUUUAAGAACCAAAAUUGAUAUGCAAAAGAAAAAUAAAGUAUUAUUUUUGGACCCUAAAGUCUCCAAAAAUAAAAAAUUAAUUGAAAUGAAAGCACUAUUUUGGUUGGUUUCCAAAAUAAAUUAUUAUAUAUUUAUAAAUAAAAUAUUAUAUAACAACAUAUUUAUAUAAAAAAUAAAAUAAAANGUCCUAAGUCUUUUUUCCGUGCUUAAUUAAUUUGAUUCGUUGAAGGGUGCCUAUCAUAUAUAUUGACUUGACUAUGCUUUUUAUUUUUGAGAAAGAUAGGUAGCACGCUACCCGCUUCGUUUAUUUUAUUUAGAAAUAAAAUUUGACUAUGCUAAAGUGACAAACGUAUGGGAUAGUCUCCAUACUAUUUUGAUAUUUCAUGGUGGUCCCUGCGAGUUUCACGUGUUAACAUAAUUUAAUUUUUCUCAUAUUAAUAUAGACAUUUUAUAUCUUCUGAUAAUUAGCUUCUCGCUCAUUUUAAUUUUCUAAAAUCCGUGAUAUUGGGAUGAGUUCUAGAACGUAUUUCUAAAAUAUCAACAAAUCAUAAAUCAUAAAUUUUACACAUUGAUUAUUUCUCACAAAUCAAAUAGCCAUAAAAAUUCCUGUCUAUUUGCGGAUAAUCAUCUAAACUUUUAAAAAAUUUCAUUUAAUACCUAAACAUUCAAAAAUUUUUUAAUUAGUGACGUAAAUUUAUAUUUUAUUAAUUUAAACUGAUCAAAGUUUGUUACAAUGGUGUUAUAUAUGAAUCAUUUUAAAUAUAUACAAUAGCUUUUGGUAUUUCGUAGCCAAACACUAUUUGUAAUAAGUUUACUUUAUUUAGAAUAAGUUUUUAAUUUAAAAAAUCAGCCUUUUUAGCAAAAUUAACUUUUAAAAACCAAAAUUCACCGUAAUCCUAAACACUCCUUUUAUGUGACCAUGAAAAACACGCAAUUGUAGCUUAAUAUUCCUUGUAGGACCUACAGGAGAAUUAUGACUCCAUACCAUUAUCAAACCUUUCAUGUGAAUUGUGAUAGCUUAGCCAUAUAUAUAACAUUUAGGGCGCGUUUGGUUCGAAGUUGGAGUCGGAAUCGAAAUCGGAAUCAAAAUAAGCUAGAAUCGGAAUCGAAAUGACUCAUUACCUAAUUCUGUUUGGUUCAUCACCUGAAUCGGAAUCGGAAUAAAUCAUUCCCAUUGUCGAUGUUUGGUUCAGGUGGAUAUAAAAAACGUAAUCAAAUUAAUAUAUUAACAUUAUCUUUAUAAUAUAUUAAUUUAAAUUCACAUUAAAAAUUAAAUAUUAAAAAUUUAUAUCAAAAUUUUGAAAUAAUAUCAAAAUUUUAAAUCUAUUUUUUUAAAAAAAAAUUAAACUUUGAAGUUGAGUGGAUAAUUCAAAUUAUGAAACUAAAUUUUGAUUUAUUCAAAUUCAAACUAAAAUUACAAUUUAAAUUUUAAUUUGAAUCCAUAAAUUUAAUUUAAGUUUGAAAUAAAAUUUGAAUAAAACUUUAUAUAAAUUAAAAUUUAAUUUAAAUUCAAAUUCAUAAGUUAGAUUCGAAAUACUUGAUUAAAUUUUAAUUUUUAAUUUAAGUUCAAAUUAAAAUUUAAAAUUAUAUAUUAUAUUUUAAUUAAAAAAGUUAAAAAAUAAAUUUAAUCCAAAUAAAUAUCCAUUCCGUCCGGAUUCAACUUUUAAUCCGGCCUCCUAGGCCGGAUUGAAAAAUGAGGUAAUUGGGGGAUUCCCAUUCCACUCAGGAAUCAGAAUCGGAAUGGGACUCUCGUGUACCAAACACCUACAAACGGAUUUACCCAUUCCGAUUCCGAUUCUAGGGUGAAAAAGAAGCGAAUACUCUAAUUACACAGCCUCAUAUAAGUCGGCUACUUGUAUUUAAUAUCACGAUAGCACUUGGUUGCUUACAAUAGUUUUUCUACCUAUUUAAGAUAUCUACCUCUUUUGAUUCAUUUUUCGGUACCGCUUAGACAUACAUUUUUAAACCAAAAAACUUCAUCCCACUCUACUUAUAGCGGGUGCCCACAUCAUGGCUCUAAUUGCAUCACUCUCUUAAUUCAAUGGCCAAAAUACUUUCUUUUGGUUUAGCACCAAUGACUUUCUUAUUCAUAGCAUAGUAGCCUAAGUUCUCUCUCUCUCUCUCUCCUCUCUCUUUUCUCUUCUUCUCUAUAUAUAUUUAUUUAUAUAUAUAACAAUAUAUAUAUUUAUAUAGCGUGGUCUGGAAAUGUUACUGAAGCACUCGGAGCUCUCGUGCUUCCAAGUUCGUUUUUCAAUGUUCCGCACCUCUUUCGAUAUCUCGUACAUUCGACUCCUAGACUUGAUCUAGAGUAUUUGAAGUAUUCUAGAAAUAUAAAUAUUGUCUGAAUUUCUCGAUUUAUUUGUCCUAAGUGAUUCUGGGAAUUGGCCAAAAUCCAACGCGCUUGAAAAUUAAAAAUCAUACAAAAAUAUGAUGUAUGAUUGACAUUAAAUUUUAGAUCAAAUUAUGAUCGUUGUUUAUUAUCGUAUAUAAGAAUUUUCUAUUUCAAAAUUCAUGUGAAUUUGGAUAUUUCUAGAACCAGUUAAACUUGUGCCAAAUGGUUCUUCACCACUGGCCGGUUAAAAUUAUUAUUUUAGCCCUUUCGAAUUCUAGGCAAAUGAUGAUCGCAAAAUAAUCACAAAAUUUUUAUUUUUUCUAGUAAUUACUUCAAAAUUACGUCUAGCAUCAACUUUCUUAACGGUAGCUCCGAUCGUCGAUUCAAAAGUUCCGAAUCAUCGAAUAAUACUUGAAGUCACGGAGGGCUGCGUUGCUUUUCCAGAAGCAUACGGAUCGCCACUCUCUUUCUCUCCUCUCUUUCUCUCUUCUUUCUCUUCUCUCUCUCUCUCUCUUCUCUCCUCUUCUCUCUUCUCUCCUCUCUCUCUUUAUUGUUGUAAUAUACUAUAUUAUUUUAUACUAUAUAUAUAGCUAUUAUAGUAGACCUAGGUUGUGUAAUACCAUCAAUAGCACCAAGCAUUUUGUGCUAUUAGUUUUCGGCUCUUGGAUUUAAAAAAACUUGUAUGUAUACGGUUUAGGAGAUUGGCCCCUCCUGGGGUUGAGUUGAUUUCUAUAGUUGUGUUGGUUUAAUAGUAUAAUCUAACGGUUGUAAAAUAAAUAUUAUAUUAUAUAUUUAAUAAUUAUAUAUAUAUAUAUAUAUAUAUAUGAGUGGAGCUACUAUGCUAUCGGAAGCAUAGAGGAUCUGGUGCUUCCGAUUUUUUGGCCUUAGAUCAACCCCUUUAAUCAUUUCUAACAUUUAUAUUAAUACUAUUAAUCUGUGAGGACCACUCAACCCUACGGGUACUACUCAACCCUGAGGGGACCGCAAUCAUCCCAACCAUAUAAUUUUUGAUCCAAUGGUCAAAAAGUUGGAAGUAUCAGAUCCUCUAUACUUCCGAUAGCAAAAGAGCCCAAAUAGUAUUAAUAGUAUUCUAAUUCAACUCGAUAUCAAACAGCUUAUUUUUUUAGGCUAAAUUAUAAAAAAGCCUUCUUGAAAUCUACCACUUAUCUUAAUAUCCUCAUGUAUAAAAAAUUACAUCAAUUAUCUCUCUACAUUUUGUCAUUAUCUUAAAAAAAUCCGCCUAUUCAAAAUAAUUGUUGAAUUCAACUAUAAAACUUUAUAAAAAUGCAUUUGCAGAUAAAAUUAUAUGUAAGUAAUGCAAAAGAACUAUAAAAAUUGAAUAAAUUGCUAGAUAAGCAAUUAUUUUUGAUAGUAUUAGAAAAAUAGAAGAUCUCAUUUAUCUAAAUUUUUAUAUUUUUUUUUGAGUUGCAAGUUGGGUAUUUACUGAGAUGUGAAAUAAUAUGAUAUGCUAACCCGUUUUAGUUAAGUUUUACAGCUUAAUUUGUUAGUUCUUUAAUUUUUUGGAUCUAUUUGAGAUGAAAACAAAAUAUAGGACGGUAAUUAGUACAAUUUUUAAUACAAGAGGAUAAUUGAGGCUGAGGUUAAAGUGCACAAAAGUUUUUUGUAAUUUAGUUUUUUUUUUUACGACGUCUUUUACUACAGCAUAAAAUACUAUUCUGAAAAUCAGACCAAAUAUACACAAAGUAACAGUUCACAUUUUCUAGAAGAAUUUAAAUGUAAAUGCUCUUUAUGUUUUUAUUAGAUACAACAUAAUAUGCCCAAUUUUGCAUUUUUUAUGUCAUCCAAAGGCAAAGCAAGGAGCAUCAUUCAACACAGCCAGGAUAUAUUUGAUAGUGGAGCUGAAAAACCCAAAAAAGAAAAAAAAGAAAAAGAAAAGAAAAGAGAGGAUGAAAAAACAAAAAAUAAAAAGAAAUAAAGAAAAGGACAUGCAUGACUUGAUUCCUUGGGAGGUGGAAACUGUGGCCACCAAUCUCAUGCUGCCCCCUCUUUUGUCCUCACAUUGCUGAAAUUUUAUGCAGCCCAUCACUUCCCAAGUGCAGCCCCAUCACUACCAAGUUGUUUUCGAUGAUACAGCUUUCGAAUCGACGAUCAAAUCAAUCGAAAAAUUAUAAAAUUUAGUUUCCAAAUAUUUUCAAUAGUGUAAAUCAAAUCUAAUAGAGCCGAUCAUCGAUUUGAAAGCUGCAUCAUUGAAAACAACUUGGUAGCACGGAGGCUUCCGUACUACCGAUAGUAUACCAGCCUAGCUCUCUCUCUCUCUCUCUCUAUAUAUAUAUAUAUAUAUAUAAUUUGGCUAGAAUACUAUUAAUAGCAAAAUACCCUUUUGUUUCCAAGUUUUAAUUCUUGGAUGAAAAAUUAUAGGGUUAGAAUGAUAUUAGUUCUUUAAGGUUGAGUGGUCCCCUAAGGUUAAGUGGUCCUCACUGGGAUUAUAAUAUUUAAUCCAAUGCUUAGAAAUGAUGAAAGGAGUUGAUCCAAAAGCUAAAAAUUUGAUAGCAAAAAGAACGUAUUGCUAUCAAUAGUAUUCUAGCCCAAGCUCAUCUAAAAUUAAUAAUAUAUAUAAUAUAUAUAUUAUAUAUAAUAUAAAGUAGAGUGGGCUGUAAAUGCUUCUGGUAAGGCACGGAGGUCUGUGCUUCUAUAAGAAUUCUUGGUUUUUGAUGAUUGGACUUUCAAAUCGACCGGAUACGACUCUAAAACAACUCAUAAACGGAGCACGAUCGAGCGAUUCGAAAAGUAUUACAAACAUCAAAAACAAGAGCUGUGAAGCACGGAAGCUGCCGUGCUUCGACAGAUAGUAUAAGUAAGCUCAUCUACAUAAUAUAGUAUAUAUAUUUUUAUAUAUGUAAGUGGGAAUUUAACUGGUAUCGCUUACUGGAGCACCGGAGAGGACUCUUGUGCUGUUACACAAUAAAGAUUUUUGUUUUUGAGAUGUUCGGACUUAAUACCAAAUCGAAACAUCGAGCUAUAUCGUUAAGAGUUGAUCAAUAAGAGUGAUUUGAAAGUACACCUAGAAAAAUAAAUUUUAUGUGAUUUUUUUGAUAUCAUUUGCCUAGUAAUGAAGGGGCUCAAAAUCAAUAAAUUUUAACACGUUGCAAGUUACGGAGACGAGUUUGCAAAAGUUUUAAAAGACUGGUAAUAAAAAAAUACCCAAUCAGCACAUAGAAUUUUGAGAUAGUAAAAAUAUCUUUAAUACCACAAUAUAGAAGAAGAACUCAAUAACUUUGAUCUAAAAUUUUAAUGUCAAUAUCAUCAGUAUUUUGUCACGAUUUUUAUUUUACAGCACAAUUAGAUUUUGAAGCCACUUGAUCACUAAGGCAAAAUGAAUAAUCGAAAAAUUGCAAAUUUAUAAUUUUCAGUUUUUAGAGUAUCUUCAAAAUACUCAAUUAGAACCUCAAGUCUAAGCAGUUGUCAAUCGUAACGAUUGAAAGUUCGAACAUCGAAAACACUUGGAACAGAAAGCGCAUCUGUGCCUUAUACAGAAGCCAUACCAUGUACGCACAUAUAUAUAUAUAUUAUAAAAAUACGAGUUGGACUGGGAGCUACAUAUUAGUAGCUAAAAAUCAUCAUUGAUUUGUAUAUAAAGUAUUUUUAGCCUUUGAGAUCAACCUUUUUUAUUCAUUUCUAAUCGUCAUUGGAUUAAAUACUAUAACCAAGUGGGGACCACUCAAACCCUUAGGGACCAACUCCAUUCUAACACGUAAUAUAAUCCUGACUACUACAUUUUCAUCCAAGGGUUAAAACUUUGAUAGGCAAAAAAAACAGCGUUUUUUAAAACAUUAUAGUAUUAAGACCAGCCAUACUUAUAUAAUAUAAAUAUAUAUAUAAUAUUAUAAUAAUAUAAUUUUAAAAUAAAAUUUAUUUUCUAGGUACUUCAAAUACUCUAGAUCAAGUUUAACGGAGCCGAUCAACGAUUCGAAAGUCGCAACAUCAAAAACGAGCUGGAAGCACGGAAGGCUCCGUGCUUCCGAUAGCAUAGUAGCCUCAUAUAUAAAGAGAGAGAGAGAGAGAGAGAGUCCAGUUGCUAUACUUUUAUUAGUAUAAACCUUUGUUAGUUAAUUCGCGAAUUAUUUGCAAAUUAUUAAAAAUCCGAAUUAAAUGAUCCGUUUACAAAUUUUUUCUGAAGAAAAUGAAUUAUUCGUGAAUUUUUGGGCCAGUCGAAUAAUUUGCGAAUUAUUUUCAAAUUAUUAAAAAUCUGAAUAAAAAACUAAUAAUUUUUAUAUUUAAAUAUAGAUUAUCUUAUAUUUUAUAUCUUAUAUUUUAUAUUUUAUAUCGAAUCGUUUUUUAAGCCGAAUUUUUCAACUAAUUUUAAAAUUAGAAAACGAAUUUUUUACAUAUUAUAACCAUACCGAAUUUUUGCUGAAUCUAAAUUAACUAAGUAUGGAAUAGAUACCUUUUUACUUAUAAGUUUUUGACCGUUAAAUCUAUCCCUUUGACUACUUUCAUCCAUUAGAUCAUACUAUUCAACCAACUACCCACUCAACUCUAAGAAACCACUAUUAUUCUAAUCGGGGACCACUAUCAUUCUAACAGCACAUCCCUUCAUCCAACUGCCGAAAACUUAUGAGUACAAAAGGAUCUAUACUCAUAAGAGUAUGGUAACCCUUCAAUAUAUAUAUAUAUAUAUAUAGAGAGAGAGAGAGAGAGAGAGAGAGAGUCCGACUACUAUACUCUUAUAACUACGAUUGUUCUUGUACUCAUAAAUUGUUUUCAAUGAUAUAGCUUCCGAAUUGACGAUCCAUACCGUUAAACAUUAUCUAGAACAUUUAAAACGUUUAGAAAUCAAAUUUUAUAACUUUUCGACAUCAUUUACCUUACGAUCAAAAAGUCACAAAAUUGACAAUUUUUAACGGCCGGUAUGAGAUACUUGCUAGUUUAACAGUGUAAAAGAAUUGGAAUCGGUUUAAUUUUUGAUAGAAAAUUCUAUUCACUACGUAGAUAAAGAUCAAUAACUCCGAUCUUAAAUUGAAGGAUCCGAUCAUCUAUUUUUAAGACGUCAUUCGAUUUUGACCGUUCAUUUUAUACCCGCCUGAUGAACUUUAUUAUGAUUUCAAAAAAUUACGAAAUUUAUUUUCUAGAAGUUUUAAAUACUCUUGAUCAUAUUUAAUGGGGUGGAUCGUCAAUUCGAAAUCGCAAUCAUUGAAAACAACUUAUGCGUAUGAAGGCCUCUAUACUCAUAAGAGUAUAGUAGCCGUAGGCUAUAUAUAUAUAGUAGGUCUUAUGUGCUAUUAGAAGCACGGAGGCCUCCGUGCUCCGAAGUCGUUUUCAAUAAUGGAGUUUUUGAAUCGACAAUUCGCUCCGUUAAACUUGAUCUCACAUAUUUGAAGUAUAUACUAUACUAUUAAGAAUGCAACAGCUCUUUUACUCCUAAAUUCUUAAUCAUCUAUUAAUUUUGAUGGAUGGUUAAGAUUAAUAUCUCAUUUCUCUCUCAAUUUUUCUUCUUUCUGAAUUUCUCCUUCAUUUCUCUUUUCUUUCUCAGCCUAACCACCUAUCAAAAUUGAUAGAUGGUCCCUUAAGGGUUAGAGAGUUUGCGACAAUUGCCUCCUCGUGGGUUAUUUGUUUAGAGUGGAAAAAAAGAAUUUUUGAGAAAAAAAACACAUCAUGAGUCGAAAAUGGCUGAGACUCGCUUUUUUAGAAACCUGUAGAACCUUUAAUUAUGUUAUGUAGUUUUUUUUUUUUAAUGAGGCCCGGUUAUCUUAAUCUGUAAUAUAAUUCGACUUCUAAAAUGAAUCAAGCAGUAGCAUAUAUACUAUUUUUUUUCUAAAAAAAUUAUACUAUUUUUUUUAUUGAGAUCUUCUUAAUUUUUUAAUUUUUAAAAUCAAAUAAUUUUAGCCAAUUAAGUUAGAGAUUUUAUUAAAGUAAUUGGUAUAUUCAUCAAAUUAAUAACUUUGAUUAGUUUUAGUAAUGAAAAUUAUUACUAAUUAGCAGCUAACAGCAUAUUGAGACAUUAAAUUUAAUAAAAGUUUUAACUUAACGAAGUAAAAACUGAAAUAAAGAAAAGGAGUUUUCCCUCGCUGCUAUUUAAAAUUUUUAAAUUUAUCUUUCUAUUCUCAAAAUACUCUUCUAAACACCAAAUUUCAUAAAUAAACGCUAGACCGAGUCAUAUAUUUGAAGGAAUUUUUUGUAAUCAAAAGGAGCAUAUUGAUCGGUCAAGAACGUAUUAAAUAUUUUUAAAUCGCUGAAUGGUAUAUUAGAUAUUAUCCGUAAAAACAAUUUGAAAUUGAUGACUCCCAAUCUUUGUUAGUUAAUUCGUGAAUUAUUCAUGAAUUAUUGAAAAUCCGAAUUAAACGGUCCGUUUACGAAUUUAUUCCAAAUACAAUAAAUUAUUCGCGAAUUUUUGGGCCAGCCGAAUAAUUCGCGAAUUAUUUGCGAAUUAUUCCGAUCGAAUUAUUGAAAAUCUGAAUAAAAAACUUAUAAUUUUUAUAUUUAAAUAUAAACUAUCUUAUAUUUUAUAUUUUAUACCGAAUUCAGUUUUUAAGCCGAAUUUUUCAACGAAUUUAAAAGUUAGAGAAUAAGUUUUAUGCGUAUUAUAUCCGUACCGAAUUUUUGGCGAAUCCGAAUUAACUAACUAUUCUCCCAAUCAAAAUAAAAAUAGUUGAAGGAUGUAUUUCAAGAUUGCCUAUAGUCGAGGGAUCUUUAUACAUUUUUACUUUCUUUUACACCUACUGGGUCAAGAUUGUGUUGUUAGGCGCAGAUUUUCUUGCACCUUAGUCGUGCAGAAAAUUUCUACAUAUAUAUUCUACGUUAUCAUUAUUGGUGGGUAUUACUUAAUUUUUAAUCAUUUUGAUUCUCAUAAUGUAGUAUACAGAAAUUUCCUGCACUGUAAGUCACGUUUCAAAGACUAGGUGCUCUACGUUGAUUCAUAUACAUAUCUAUGAAGAAAAUUUUGUAGAUGUUGAAGUUGUGAGACAAAUAUGGGACCCGCAGAAUCGCACACGAAUCUGCGGGUCCCAUAUUUGCCUAGUGAACGAAGGGGCUCAAAGUCAACAGCUGAAAAUAAAAAUCUUACAAAAUGUAAUAAUAUGACAUUAAAAUUUUAAAUCAAAAAUAUUGAUCUUGUUUUAUAUAGUAUAAAGAAUUUUCUAUUAAAAUUUCACGUGAUUUGGAUAUUUCUACACCGUUAAACUUGCAAACGGCUCACUACGGCUAUUGAAAUUUGUUGAUUUUGAGCCCAUUUGAUCACUAGGCAAAUGAUAUCGAAAAAUAAUAAAAUUUAUUUUCUAGGUACUCCAAAUACUCUAGAUCAAGUUUAACGGAGCCGAUCGAGUCGAUAAUUCGAAGUCGCAACUCGAAAACGAGCUGAAAGACGAAGGCUCCGUGCUUCAGUAGCAUAGUAGCCUUACUCUCUCUCUCUCUCUUCCUCUCUCUACGUUCUCUCUCUCUCUCUCUCUCUAUAUAUGAAUACUACCUAUAACAUAUAUAAUAUAUAUAAUUACGGGCGCUGUGUCUUCAGGAGCACGGACGCGCGCCUCCGUGCUCCUGGCCGUUAUACGCGCAUGAUGGAAUUUCGAAUCGACGAUCGGCUCCGUUUAACUUAAUCUAGGGCUAUUGAAGUUUCUAGAAAAUAAUUUUGAUGAUGUUUUGAUAUCUUUACCUAGUUAUCGAAAGGAUUCAAAACUCAAUAAUUAUAAUGGGUUAUAUCUCUCACUCACGGCUGUAGAAGUAUUCCAAUCAGUAUUGAAUUGUGAUACAAUGAAAUUUUUUGUAACUAUCUACAACUGGAAUCAAUAUUUCUGAUCGGAAAAUUUUAGUGCUAUAUCCACCUCUCUUCACUCGCACCUCUCUACUCUCUUUAGCCGGUUAAAAAUUAUGAUAUUUUGAAUCCUUUCUGAAUUGCUAGUAAACUCACUAUCGAAAAAUCGCCAAUAACUUAUUUACUAGACACAAUUUAAAUACGGCUAGAUCAACGGUCUAACGAGCUUGCAUCCAUUCGAAAUUCAUCAUCGAAAACGCUCACGGAACAAACAAACAAAAAAAAAAAAAUAAAAAAAACAAACAAAAAAAACAAAAAACACAAACAUAGGGAAAAAAAAAAAUAACACGCCUUGAGUAGCCAACAGUCCUGCUCUCUCUCUCUCUCUCUCUCUCUCCUCUAUAUAUAUCAUUAUAUAUAUAUAUACUAUAUACUCUCACUCAGCAGGAAUUUGAUCGCACGUAUGAGCCGUUCUUGAUGAGAACAAUAUAUAUAUAUAUCACGUUGUCGCUGAGCCGUUUCGAUGAUGAAACAAUAUAAUAUAAUAUACUAUAUAUAUAUAUAUAUAUAAUAUACACCAAUAUAUAUAUAAUAAAUAGAAGAUACGGCCUACUAUAUAUUAUGAGUACGAUCGGUAUCUCGUACUCAUAAGUUAUUUUCGAUGAUAAGCUCCGACAUCCCCACAUCCACACGAUUAAAUGUUAUUACAGUAUUUAUACUUCUAGAAAUUAAUUUAUAUAAUUUUCAAACAUCAUUUACCUUACAAUCAAGCGACCUCACACCACUCUGACAAUUUUUAACGGUCUUUGAUGGAAUACUGCUAGUUUAACGGUGUAAAGAGAGCAAUUUGUUUGAAUUAUUUGAUAAAAAAUUCUAUUCACUACACUCACACAGAUCAAUAACUCCGAUCUUGAAGUGAAGCUCCGAUCAUCCUUUUUUAAAUGCUGUCCCCGAUUUGACUUCAUUUUAUGCCCCGCUGAUGGACUUAUCUUAUGAAUUUCGAAAAAUUAUGACAAUAUUUCUCACAACACUUUCAAAUACUCUAAACAUUCAUAUUAAUGAGUGGAUCGCUCGAUUCCACACUGAUCCAUUAAAAAAACAUCUCACCCAAUAGUCUCACAUCGGAUGGAAUUGAGGUCUUUUCAUUGGUUAUAAGAGACUUAGACAUUAUAGUAAAAUAACUCUCCUACCACCAUUUGGCGGUGUUUGGCCCAAGCAUAUUAUUGAGCAAUAGUGGCGCCUGGUGUUGUGUUUGUAUGCAGAGCGGCUCAACAGCUUGGACAGUGUGUUGUUGCUUGCGAGUCUCGGCUUAAGCCCAGCGGACUGUUCACGAUCUGGAUGACGCUCUAGACGAGUCUCACAUUGCCUCUGAUCUUGCUGUAGUGUGUAUUGGAACUGACGCAGACUCAGCUCCUUAGAGCGGUAGUCGCCUUACACCAUACAGUCCCACAUGUGAUGGAAACGUUGUCAUUGGUUUAUAGGACUUAGACUAAUAAUAAUUAACUGGGUUAAGCCAUUUGCCUGUGGCUUACAUACUUAUGAGUACGAAGCACUCCAAUAUCAUAAAGUAGAUAAUACCCAUGGCCUAUAUAUACUUAUAUACUAUAGAGUUGGCUGUAUGCUUCGUAGCACGGCAGCCUCCUGCUCCACUUUGUUUCGCAUGUUUGGACUUUCGAAAUCGACGAUCGGGUCUCCGGUUAGAGUUGGAUCUAGAUUAUUUAAGCUACAAGAAGAUUAAAUUGCGAUUUUUCGAUAUUUUUCGCCUAGUGACGAAGGGCUCAAAAUCAAAAUUUAACAGGCCGGUGGUGAAGCCGGUUGCCAGUUUAACGGAUGUAGAAAUAUCAAAUCACGUGAAAUUUUCAUGGAAAAUCUCUAUACACUAUAAACAAGAUCAAUAACUUUGAUCUAAAAAAUUUAAUUCAUAUCAUCAUAUUUUUUGUUCACACUCUCUCUCUUCAGCGUUUUGAUUUCUGAACCACUUCGACACUAUGGCAAAUGUAUCGCAAAUAAUCGCAACAAUUAUUUCUACAUCACUUCAAUAACUCUAGAUCAAGUCUAACAGCCACGUCGUAUUUUAAAGUCGUGCCCAAAAUCGAAACAAGAUGGAAGCACGGAGCGCUCCAUUGCUUCCGAAGCACCCAGACCAACUCCGAUUAUAAUAUAUAUAUAUAUAUUAUAUAUAUAUAUAUAUAUAUAAUAAUAAUAUAUAAUAUAUGCUAGGCUGUAAAAUUUCUGCAUGUAAGAUCACGUUGCAAAGACUAGGCGCUCUACGUUCGAUUACAUAAUACAUACCAACCCUAAUGUAACGAAAAUUUUGAUAGCAUGAUUGAAAUUUGGAGACAAAUAAUCCCACCAGAAUGCAACGAAAUCUUGCGGAAACAGCACAGAGCUAAGAACAAGUUAAACAUAACGCCUUUUAAAUAAUAUCGUAAUUUAUUUAUAUAGUAAAACGUGAACUAUGCUUGUCCUGUCAAAAGCGAAUGAUUCUUUUAUAUCUGCUUGCUGCGCGAGAAGCUAUUGAUGUUAUAUAAACACUUUAUUUCGUCAUAUAAAGUUAUAUAGUGUUUUAUUCAGUAGUGCAUUAUUUAUUAUCUUGUCACAUAAAAUAGGAUGAUUUUGAGAGUAUCUUAGUAUGGUUUCGCCCUCAAAAGCAUUUUUUUCUGAUCACUAUACUUAUGAUUCGAUUUUGUCACUCGUAUGGACGCUUAAUCUAUUGGAGUUACUAUACUUCAUCUAGGAGUGUAUGAAUAUACAUUUCAUCAUUCACAUGAUAGCAUUUAUGAGUGUAUCAUUUAAUAAGCUUAAAAUAUAGACAAAUGUAUCUUAAUGAUAUAGAUUUAUUUAUUUGAGUUGCCUUCAUAAAAUAUGUGGAUGUUUUAUAGUACACUCUAUUAAAUUUUCAUAUAAUUUUCUCCGCGAAAUAUCUCUAUAUAACCCAUUCGCACUUCUCAUUUAGUAUUUUCUGUUUAAAGUGCUAAUCAAUUGUUCCCUGAUGUUUCGUUUUUCUCUUUUAUUAAAAUUUUAUUAUAUUUCUUCAACAGUGACAAAGUCACACACUCACACAACUAAAGUAAAUAUCGUUAAUUAGAGUUUUCUUGAUCGUGACAUUCGACUAUAUAUUGAUUGACGUAUUAAAUCUAUAUUUCAGAAUACUCUCGUCUCACAUAUUUAUGAUUUGGAGAUUAGAAUCCGAGUACAGGAUCCCUUUAGUUUUAACGGACGGUUCUAUUGAUCCGAAGAUAUGGGAACUGCGCUCCACAUAGUCUCCAUUGCAUCCUAAUGACUCCACUCAUUAUGAACCAAACACAAAACACUACUAGAAGAAAAAUAAUCGAAUUCAACGGACGAAAUAUCACCAAUAACAGAGGAACACGCGGAAGACACCCACCCGCUCUACAAAAACCUAUAUCGAUAACUCACAAUCGCUAUAUGGCGAGAAAACUGACCACAACCUGGGGUCACUCAAGCACACAAUACCUUCGAUGCAGAUCUCUUAACACAACAUAAUGCAUACUCGCAUUGCCUCAAAAAUUAACCCCCACUCGGAUGGCCCAUGGAUACAACACUGAAUGAAACAAAACAGAGAAGAGAAUAACGUUAGUGGCAGGAAAAAUUGCCACGGACUAACCACUCACACUCACUAAAAACAGAAAACCCAUCUCACAUAAUUUCCAUUCUCACUCUAACCCAACACAGAGAUAAAACACGAACAGAAGGAGAGAGAACGAGACAAACCAAGCAAAAAUACGACAAAAGCUCGGUUACUCCUUCUAGCUCGUGCGCUCUCGCACUAAAAGCGAGAUUCUAUACUCGCGACGACCCCUCUCACACGAUCAGAUCAGUAAGCAACAGCAGCAUCCGAAUCCAUCGGCGACGGCUCUACAAAAACACGACUGUAACAAUGAGGCGUGCGCCACGGUACUACAAAUUGAAAGUCGUCCUCCAGUGUGGGAUCAGGUUACCGCACCUCCGGAAACAUCAUCGAACUACCCACUAAGUAUAAAGAUCUAAGCUCAGUUGAUAGAAAAAAGAAGCCUGAACAAUAUACAGCUAUAUGCUAUCCUAUCACGAUCCAAUACUACUAUCUGGUUAGCAGUUAUGCAAUCUCCGGACUCAAUCCAUAUGGGGACUGUGGUAAUACACNNNNNNNNNNNNNNNNNNNNNNNNNCUCUCUCUCUCUCUCUCUCUCUCUCUCUCUAUAUAUAUAUAUAUAUAUAUAUAUAUAUAUAUAUAUAUAUAUAUAUAUAUAUAUAUAUAUAUAUGCUAGGCUGGUAGAAAUUUCUUGCACUGUAAGUCACGUUGCAAAGACUAGGCGCUCUACGUUGAUUCAUAUACAUACCUAUGAAGAAAAUUUUGUAGAUGUUGAAGUUGUGAGACAAAUAUGGGACCCGCAGAAUCGCACACGAAUCUUGCGAAGAAGCAGGAGCUAAGAACAAGUUAAACAUAACGCCUUUUAAAGUUUUUAUUGCGUAAUUUAUUUAUAAGUAAAAGUGAACAUAUGCUUGUCCCUCAAAAGGGGAAGAUUCAUUUUGAAAAUUCUGCUUUUGCUGCGCGUAGAAGCUAUUUGGAUGCAAUUUGAUGAAAAAACAAAAGUAUUUCGUCAAAUAAUUUUUCUCAAAGAUUAAUAGCGUGGAAGUGCCGCUUGAGUAUCUUCAGUAGUGCAAUUUUUGUCGAUUUAAUCCAACGUUUAUUUUGCUUUUUGUCUUGUCACAUAAAAAUAGAGAUUUUGAGAGUAUCUAGUAUUCGCUCAAUAAGAUUGUUAUUCAUCACUAACUUAUGAUUCGAUUGUUGUACCUGAUGGACGCUUAAUAUAACAAACAGGAUGUAUGAUAUACAUUCUAUUUAGAGUGUAUGAUAUACAUUCACUCAUUCAAUGAAUAGAGUUGUUUCACUGAUCAUAUGAUGUAUCAUGUAAUAAGUAAAAUAUAGACAAAAUGUAUGAUAUAGAUUUUAUUUAGAUUGUAUGGGUAGAGUUGCUCAUUAUAAAAUAGUGGUGGAUGGUUUUAUAGUACACCGUCCUUCUAUGUGGGAAGAUCUUUCAUAUAAUUUUGGGAAAACUUUAAAAACCCAUCUAGUGGUUCCGCACUUUCUCAUUUUAGUAUUUUCUGGUUUAAAGUGUAUCAAUUUGUUCCCCUGUGGUUUCGUUUUUCUCUUUUUAUUAUCAAUUUUAUUAUUAUUUUUCUUAAAUCAGUGACAAAGUUAAAAUUAAAGAGUACUAAAGUAAAUAUUCGAUAAAUCUAGAUGGGUAUCUGAAGUUUUUUGUAUAUAAAUUAAUGAAAUAUUAAGAAAACAUGUGGCGAAAAGAUAAAAACAAAACCACAGGGGAUAAAUUGAUACACUUUAAAUCACAGAUACUAAAAUAAGAAAGUGAGAAACUACAAUAGAAGUUUUUGAAGUUUUUUCUAUAAUUUUUGCUCAGCAUUAAAAAAUCAAAAAAUAUUUUGAGACUAUUUGUCACCCUCAAAGUACUUUUCAUAUUUUGAAAAGUAAUAAUACAAGCAUAAAAGGUACCGUCAAAAUAUUACUUUUUCGUGGCACAUGAAUACUACUAUUAAACAACUGCAAAUAGAGCUCCUACUUAGAUACCAUGUUGAACAACAAAUUAUCUUUAAAAGAUGGGAAAACUUCAAAAACCCCCCUUAUGGUUUCAAAUUUUUUCACUUUAGUACCCUGUGAUUUAAAAUGUAUCAAAUUAGUACCCUGUGGUUUCUCACUUUAUCACUUUAGUACCCUGUGGUUUAAAAUGUAUCAAAUUAGUACCCUGUGGUUUUACACUUUAUCACUUUAGUACCCUGUGGUUUUAAUUUUGUAUCAAGUUAGUACCCUAUGAUUUUUUAAACCACAGGAUAUUAAAGUGAUAAAGUGUGAAACCACAAGGUAGUAAAGUGAUAAAGUGCAAAACCACAGGAUACUAACUUGAUACACUUUAAACCACAGGGUACUAAAGUGAUAAAGUGAGAAACCACAGGGUACUAACUUGAUACACUUUAAACCACAGGGUACUAAAAUGAAAAAGUGUGAAACCACAGAGGGAAUUUUUGAAGUUUUCCCUUAAAAGAUUUAAUUGUCGGAGAAUGAUAAUUUUAAUAUUCUAUAUUCCUCAGUUAUUUAUUAUUAUUUUUUUUUCCUAAGUGGCUGUUUGGUUCUACGUAAAAUUGGGAAAAAAAAAUUUCGGUGGAAAAAAAGUUUUACGUAGUCAGUGUUUGGUUUGUAGGAAGAGAAAAAUAGUUUUCCAUGACGGUUGUUUGGUUGAAAAGAAAAAAAAAGUAGAUUAAAACAUAUUUAAUAUAUUUUUUAUUAUAUAUAUUAUUAUUAUAUAAUAAUUAAUAUACUAUAUAUAUUAUUUUACUAUAAUUUUUAUAUAUAGAUUAAAUAUUUAAAAUUAUAAUAAAUAUAUUACACAAUAUAUAAGAGUUAUAUAUUUAAAAAUAUUAAUAAAUAAUUACAAAUUUAUAAAUAAAAUAUUAUAUAAUAGUAUUUCUAUAUAAAAAUAAAUGAAUAUAUAAUAAAUAAUAUAUAUUCAUAACUAAAUUAUAUAUAUAAUAUAUAUAUAUAUAUUAUAUAUAUAUAUAUAUAUAUAUAUAUAUAAUAUAUAUAUAUAAAGAGAGGAGAGGACACUCUCACGCUGUCACAAGGCGAGGAUGACCUCGUGGACCGCGUGCUCAAACCUCUCUUGAGCCGCGCCUUUUCAUCAAUGGGUUUUCGUUUUCCACGGACGGCAAGCGAAAAACGAAAACUUAGUUUUUCAUAGAAUCUAUAAAAAAAAAUGUUUUCCAAAAAAUUUUCUUAUGGGCAACCAAACGUCGGAAAAAAAAUUUUCAACCGAAAAGAAAUUUUCGAAGCAGUUUUACAUGGAUCCAAACACACCCUAAACUAAUCUUUUAAAUAAUAUGUUAUCAUCAAUAUUAAAGUUUCUUCCAUUUCCAAAAAAUUUGACCUAAAUUCUAAUAUCCAUAAUUUUAUGGCCCAUAUUCUUUCUCUGUUCUUAUUUAUGUUAUCCUAUCUCCAUCAUACAUGUAAGUUGGGAUGUUAAGAUUAUUUUUAAAUUAAUUAAUUAUUCUCUAUCUUAUCAAUCUUCUGAGUAUCACGCACUUUGUCUUCCAAUUAAGAACAAUAAAUUCAAAUUUUUUUAUUUAUAAAUAUUUUAUUAUGAAUAAUUGUAAUUGAAAAUAAAAAUAAAAGCUCAAUGGGUGUGUUUGUUUGUACAAAGUGAUUUUCAAAUAAAACAUGACUCUCAGUUUGAGCUGAGGUUUUGAUUAGAAAACUUUUACUGCUAUAUAUUUAUAUAAUCAAAAGCUACGAUCACACAUUGAAGGAUGAAACACCCAAAAAAUCAAAAUCAAAGACCAAAACGAUAUUAAAAAAAUAUAAUGUUUUUGAAAAAUAAAGUUAUGAAUAAUUUUAAUUUAUAAAAAUAUGGAAGACGAAAGGAGUCGAAAUCAAUCUCACCUCUCCACUUUCCAUGAAACAAAUCUGCCCCAGAACGUGACACCCGUGCGGCUGCGAAAUGCCUACUUUUUCUUUUUAUUUUUUAUUUUUUAUUUUUUUCUUUUUUUUUUUUGAGAUCGACGUGUCGAACACGCACUUUAAUUUUCGCGCGCAUGCAGAGAAAGUGCCAAGUUGGGUAUCGUUUUCCAGUUUCAAACUUACACUCCUUGUUUGUUCAAGUUGGCGUAGCAAUAAUAGAGGAUUAUUUUUCUCAUUUAUUUUCCAUGGGGGAAAAUUUCACUACUAGUCCCCGUACUUAAUACCAAGUUUUAUUUCGGUCCUCAAACUUAUGAUUUUGAUAAUCGGGAUCUUGAACGUUUUUAGGAACUAUUUGGUUAGAUGUAAUUACAAAUACAGUGUAGUUAAAAAUGCAUGCUGUUGAAAAUGCAUGCUGUUGAAAAUGCAGCAGUUACAACUAUAUGUAUCCUGUUUGGUUGGAUGUAAUAAAAAGCACUGUAACUGUAAAGAAUUUGUUUGGUUGCAUGCAGUUAAGAAACGAGUUUUAUAAAUUUAACCCUUUGAUUAUUUUUAUCCGUUAGAUUAUACUAUUCAACCAACCACUACUCACUCAACCCUAGGAGGCCCAUAUCAUCCUAACUACACAUUUCUCAAUCCAAAGACUAAAAAGUUAAUAGCACCAAUAGCUUGGUGUUAUUAAUAGUAUUCCAGCCAAGUUCUAUAUAUAUAUAUAGNAUAUAUAUAUAUAUAUAUAUAUAUAUAUAUAUAUAUGAUGGUGAGGUUAACACCAAUGUAAAAAAAGAAAAAAUAUUUUUUGUUUAAAUAAUUAAUAAGGUAAGUUUAUCUUUUGCUUAAAGUUAUUCUCUCCAACUGUGGUAGUUGGAUCUACCUCCAAAUUGACCGUAGUUUCAACUGCUGUAGUUGGGCCUCUUCCUGCAGUUCCUACUAUAACAGUUGGAGUUAAAUAUAUCAAACCAAACACGAAAUUGGUAUUUGUAUACAGUUACAACUGUAGUACAGUUGUAACUACAUGCAAGCAAACGGCUCCCUGUAGUUUUAUUUUAGUCCCAAAACUCCUAAUUAUGUACCAAAUUCAUUCGUAUAUCCAUACGCCAUGAAUACAUCACUUUUUUUAUUUAUCUCG